GCGUCAGUGGUCUAACGGAUAAAGCACGCGUUUCCGGAAAGAGUGGGGUGCGGGUUCUAGUCCCGCCUGGCGCU
Molecule: non-coding RNA, 74 nt
Organism: Parelaphostrongylus tenuis
Lineage: Eukaryota; Metazoa; Nematoda; Chromadorea; Rhabditida; Metastrongylidae
Source: the annotation of a GenBank genome assembly